Molecule: non-coding RNA, 319 nt
Organism: Equus caballus (horse)
Lineage: Eukaryota; Metazoa; Chordata; Mammalia; Perissodactyla; Equidae
Source: Rfam
GGAUGGAAGGUUAUGUGGCCUCAACAUCAGUCACCCCGUUGAUUGCCAGGGCUCAUUCUGCCAAUCUGUGUAGGCACCCUUUCAUGUCACUGCUGCAUGUACUUCCUUCCUAAAAUGGCCUGCUUGAUGGAGCACACUGACCUUCCCAUACAGAGGAAGACACUUCUUCAGUCAGCGGUGCCUAAGUGUUUGUGCCCCCUGCUAGAACCUUCAAGUAAACUCUAGAGAUGCCUGUGCAGAACAGUGUAGCUAAGGAAAGUUUCCAGGAUACUAGACACGAGCAAUGCAGACACUGAACUGAGGCAGCCUGCCUGUCAAA